GACGAACGCUGGCGGCGUGCUUAACACAUGCAAGUCGAACGGAAAGGCCCUGCUUUUGUGGGGUGCUCGAGUGGCGAACGGGUGUGUAACACGUGAGUAACCUGCCCUUGACUUUGGGAUAACUUCAGGAAACUGGGGCUAAUACCGGAUAGGAGCUCCUGCUGCAUGGUGGGGGUUGGAAAGUUUCGGCGGUUGGGGAUGGACUCGCGGCUUAUGAGCUUGUUGGUGGGGUAGUGGCUUACCAAGGCUUUGACGGGUAGCCGGCCUGAGAGGGUGACCGGCGACAUUGGGACUGAGAUACGGCCCAGACUCCUACGGGAGGCAGCAGUGGGGAAUAUUGCACAAUGAGCGGAAGCCUGAUGCAGCAACGCCGCGUGCGGGAUGACGGCCUUCGGGUUGUAAACCGCUUUCGCCUGUGACGAAGCGUGAGUGACGGUAAUGGGUAAAGAAGCACCGGCUAACUACGUG
RNAcentral lists this ribosomal RNA (468 nucleotides) under uncultured bacterium. Its description in RNAcentral is "partial 16S ribosomal RNA". It matches the Rfam family "Bacterial small subunit ribosomal RNA", at positions 28 to 507 of the family's 1533-position model. The record is from RNAcentral.